Molecule: small RNA, 456 nt
Filed under: Pongo abelii (Sumatran orangutan)
Lineage: Eukaryota; Metazoa; Chordata; Mammalia; Primates; Hominidae
Description: retained intron
Source: RNAcentral
GGAUAAUGCGAACGACCCCCACGAUCCCAUCGUGAACAGGCUGCUGCGCUCCAUGGCCACGCAGGCCAUGUCGAAUGCUCUGUAUUUCUCCACCGGAUCCUGCGCAGAGGAGGAGUUCCAUCAUUACGGUCUUGCAUUAGAUAAAUAUACCCACUUUACUUCUCCAAUAAGAAGAUAUUCAGAUAUUGUAGUACACCGCUUGUUAAUGGCAGCCAUUUCAAAAGAUAAGAAAAUGGAAAUUAAGGGAAAUUUGUUCAGCAACAAAGAUCUUGAGGAAUUAUGCAGACAUAUCAACAACAGAAACCGAGUAAGAGGGAAUUUCAAAAUUCUCUUACCUGUCAUCUCUUGCUAAGAAAAUAUCAGCUUUAUUGUGUAUUACAGUGAAGUAUCAUAUAUUCUAGCAAAUUAAAUUCUAGAAUUAUUCUAACCAGUGCUUUCAGAACAUCUGUAGAUGUU